RNAcentral lists this ribosomal RNA (484 nucleotides) under uncultured bacterium. Its description in RNAcentral is "partial 16S ribosomal RNA". It matches the Rfam family "Bacterial small subunit ribosomal RNA", at positions 30 to 507 of the family's 1533-position model. The record is from RNAcentral.
AUUGAACGCUGGCGGCAGGCCUAACACAUGCAAGUCGAGCGGAUGAAGGGAGCUUGCUCCUGGAUUCAGCGGCGGACGGGUGAGUAAUGCCUAGGAAUCUGCCUGGUCGUGGGGGAUAACGUCCCGAAACGGGCGCUAAUACCGCAUACGUCCUGAGGGAGAAAGUGGGGGUUCUUCGGACCUCACGCUUUCUGCUGAGCCUAGGUGGGAUUAGCUAGUUGGUGGGGUAAAGGCCUACCAAGGCGACGAUCCGUAACUGGGCUGAGAGGAUGAUCAGUCACACUGGAACUGAGACACGGUCCAGACUCCUACGGGAGGCAGCAGUAGGGAAUAUUGGGCAAAGGGCGAAAGCCUGAUCCAGCCAUGCCGCGUGUGUGAAGAAGGUCUUCGGAUUGUAAAGCACUUUAAGUUGGGAGGAAGGGCAGUAAGUUAAUACCUGGCUGUUUUGACGGUACCAACAGAAUAAGCACCGGCUAACUACGUG